Non-coding RNA from Jatropha curcas, 604 nucleotides. The record is from RefSeq and is a predicted model, not a curated record. NCBI's taxonomy places the organism in Eukaryota, Viridiplantae, Streptophyta, Magnoliopsida, Malpighiales, Euphorbiaceae.
AUGAUUUCCUUCUUAAGGCCUUUCCUUGUUUUGGUUUCGUUUAUUUAGCUUGGUGACAACAUGUUCAAAAGACGAAGAAGGAAAGCUCCAGCCCAAUGAAUACAUUUAUGAACAUUUGAAGUAUGUUAAGCUUGCUGGAUUUUAUGGAACCCCAAACCAAAUUGAGUUUGCUAAAUAUUUGUUGAAGAAUGCUUUAAUCCUUGAGAGAUUGGUCAUCAAGCAAGAAGAAGCUUUUGUCAGGAAAAGGCCAUCAUGGGAUGAAGGAGAACGCCAAAUGGUUAUCGAGACGCUGCAAGAAUUUUCCAAAGAAGUAAUGCUAAUUGUCAAGUAAGCAUUUAGUGACAAUUCAAUUGUUCUCUAGUGUUAUGUGUAACCAAAGUUUCUUUGAAAUAUGCAAGACAAAAUUGUCACUCAAAUUAGCUGAAGUCUAACCGAAUAUAAUGUCAAUGGUGGGAGAAAAUCAAAUUGGAUUCUGAAAUUUAUGCUUUUGUCAGCUGAGAACUCUAAUUUUCAUUUUAAUAAUUAUCUCUCCUUUCAUUUUUUUGCCAAUUAGAGAACAGGUUGAACAAACUAUGUAGUUCUUAAUGAUAUUUUUAAUUCUUAA